Molecule: ribosomal RNA, 432 nt
Filed under: Triticum aestivum (bread wheat)
Lineage: Eukaryota; Viridiplantae; Streptophyta; Magnoliopsida; Poales; Poaceae
Description: partial small subunit ribosomal RNA
Source: RNAcentral
AUGAGGGACCAACUUCCGCUCAAGCAGGAAAUGAGGAUGACAAUGACAACUAGGACGAUGAACGAGAAGCAGGUAAAGAUGACAAUGAAAAACAAGAUGAGGAUGAAGCCACUGAGUCUAGAAAAUAUGUCAAUGCGAGGGAGUAUUACUGUUUCAAGUUGCAGAUCAGGGAAGAAAUUUUUAACAUCCUAUUGCAUGGGGAGGCGUCCUCUCCAACAGUGGCUUGUUGACAUGUACAUCAAAAUGGAGACUACAAGGCUUGAUUUCUACUGGAAGCCUCAGAAUCAAAAACUCAUACAGAGACGCGUGCUACUCAGAUUGGAAAAAGAAUCAUGCUCCCUCAGACUUUUCCGGGAGGUGAUCGAGACAUGCGACAAAGAUUCCUUGAUGCGAUGGUCGUCAUCCAAAGAUACGGAAAGCCUGAUUACUUAA